Molecule: ribosomal RNA, 484 nt
Filed under: uncultured bacterium
Lineage: Bacteria
Description: partial 16S ribosomal RNA
Rfam family: Bacterial small subunit ribosomal RNA
Source: RNAcentral
AUUGAACGCUGGCGGCAGGCCUAACACAUGCAAGUCGAGCGGAUGAAGGGAGCUUGCUCCUGGAUUCAGCGGCGGACGGGUGAGUAAUGCCUAGGAAUCUGCCUGGUAGUGGGGGAUAACGUCCGGAAACGGGCGCUAAUACCGCAUACGUCCUGAGGGAGAAAGUGGGGGAUCUUCGGACCUCACGCUAUCAGAUGAGCCUAGGUCGGAUUAGCUAGUUGGUGGGGUAAAGGCCUACCAAGGCGACCAUCCGUAACUGGUCUGAGAGGAUGAUCAGUCACACUGGACCUAGGACACGGUCCAGACACCUACAGGAGGCAGCAGUGCGGAAUAUUGGACAAAGGGCGAAAGCCUGAUCCAACCAUGCCGCGUGUGUGAAGAAGGUCUUCGGAUAGUAGAGCACUUUAAGUGGGGAGGAAGGUCAGUAAGUUAAUACCUUGCUGUUUUGACGUUACCAACAGAAUAAGCACCGGCUAACUUCGUG